Molecule: ribosomal RNA, 975 nt
Filed under: Bjerkandera adusta
Lineage: Eukaryota; Fungi; Basidiomycota; Agaricomycetes; Polyporales; Phanerochaetaceae
Description: eukaryotic LSU rRNA
Rfam family: Eukaryotic large subunit ribosomal RNA
Source: RNAcentral
CAAAUCAGGUAGGACUACCCGCUGAACUUAAGCAUAUCAAUAAGCGGAGGAAAAGAAACUAACAAGGAUUCCCCUAGUAACUGCGAGUGAAGCGGGAAAAGCUCAAAUUUAAAAUCUGGCGGUCUUCGGCCGUCCGAGUUGUAAUCUGGAGAAGCGUUUUCCGCGCCGGACCGUGUACAAGUCUCUUGGAACAGAGCGUCAUAGAGGGUGAGAAUCCCGUCUUUGACACGGACUACCAGUGCUAUGUGAUGCGCUCUCGAUGAGUCGAGUUGUUUGGGAAUGCAGCUCAAAAUGGGUGGUAAAUUCCAUCUAAAGCUAAAUAUUGGCGAGAGACCGAUAGCGAACAAGUACCGUGAGGGAAAGAUGAAAAGCACUUUGGAAAGAGAGUUAAACAGUACGUGAAAUUGCUGAAAGGGAAACGAUUGAAGUCAGUCGCGUGUGCUAGAACUCAGCCUUGCUUUUGCUUGGUGCAUUUUCUAGUGUACGGGCCAGCAUCAGUUUUGGCCGCCGGAAAAAGGCCUUGGGAAUGUGGCACCUUCGGGUGUGUUAUAGCCCUUGGUUGUAUACGGUGGCUGGGACUGAGGAACAUAGCAUGCCUUUACGGCGGGGCUUCGGCCACCUUCAUGCUUUGGAUGCUGGCGUAAUGGCUUUAAACGACCCGUCUUGAAACACGGACCAAGGAGUCUAACAUGCCUGCGAGUGUUUGGGUGGAAAACCCGAGCGCGUAAUGAAAGUGAAAGUUGGGACUUCUGUCGUGGAAGGCACCGACGCCCGGACCAGACCUUCUGUGACGGAUCCGCGGUAGAGCAUGUAUGUUGGGACCCGAAAGAUGGUGAACUAUGCCUGAAUAGGGUGAAGCCAGAGGAAACUCUGGUGGAGGGUCGUAGCGAUUCUGACGUGCAAAUCGAUCGUCAAAUUUGGGUAUAGGGGCGAAAGACUAAUCGAACCAUCUAGUAGCUGGUUCCUGCCGAAGUU